UACGAGGGGGGCAAGCGUUGUUCGGAAUUAUUGGGCGUAAAGGGUGCGUAGGCGGUGCGGUAAGUCUGUUGUGAAAUCUCCGGGCUCAACUCGGAGUCUGCAUCAGAAACUGCCGAGCUGGAGUGUGGGAGAGGUGAGUGGAAUUCCCGGUGUAGCGGUGAAAUGCGUAGAGAUCCGGAAGAACACCGGUGGCGAAGGCGGUCUGCUGGGCAGUUGCUGACACUGAGGCGCGACAGCAUGGGGAGCAAACAGG
This 253-nucleotide ribosomal RNA is filed under the name uncultured bacterium. Its description in RNAcentral is "partial 16S ribosomal RNA". It matches the Rfam family "Bacterial small subunit ribosomal RNA", at positions 524 to 776 of the family's 1533-position model. The record is from RNAcentral.